ACUGUGUAGGAUAGGUGGGAGGCUAUGAAGUGAGGACGCUAGUUCUCAUGGAGCCAUCCUUGAAAUACCACCCUGUUGUUAUUGAGGUUCUAACUUGGUCCCGUAAUCCGGGAUGAGGACAGUGUAUGAUGGGUAGUUUGACUGGGGCGGUCUCCUCCCAAAGAGUAACGGAGGAGCACAAAGGUACCCUCGGUACGGUCGGACAUCGUACCAAGAGUGUAAAGGCAUAAGGGUGCUUGACUGCGAGAGCGACGGCUCGAGCAGGUACGAAAGUAGGUCUUAGUGAUCCGGUGGUUCUGUAUGGAAGGGCCAUCGCUCAACGGAUAAAAGGUACUCCGGGGAUAACAGGCUGAUACCGCCCAAGAGUUCAUAUCGACGGCGGUGUUUGGCACCUCGAUGUCGGCUCAUCACAUCCUGGGGCUGAAGCAGGUCCCAAGGGUAUGGCUGUUCGCCAUUUAAAGUGGUACGCGAGCUGGGUUUAGAACGUCGUGAGACAGUUCGGUCCCUAUCUGCCGUGGGCGUAGGAAAAUUGAGAGGAGCUGCUCCUAGUACGAGAGGACCGGAGUGGACGAACCUCUGGUGUACCGGUUGUCACGCCAGUGGCAUUGCCGGGUAGCUAAGUUCGGACGGGAUAACCGCUGAAAGCAUCUAAGCGGGAAGCCUCCCUCAAGAUGAGUUUUCCCUUGAAGCCCGUUGAAGACUACGACGUUGAUAGGCAAGGUGUGGAAGCGCAGUAAUGUGUGAAGCUAACUUGUACUAAUUGGCUGAUUGUCUUGACCAUAUAAUCUGAG
The sequence is a ribosomal RNA, 791 nucleotides long. It matches the Rfam family "Bacterial large subunit ribosomal RNA", at positions 2133 to 2925 of the family's 2925-position model.